UUUUAAGUGCUGGAUGUUCCAAGCAUGGGGCUCGGGGUUUCCUUGCAUAUCUUCAAUUCGGUAUACCCCGGGCUUAACCACUUUUGUCACCUUGAAUGGACCUUCCCAGGUUGGUGCUAGUUUGCCUGCAGCUGCUCUUUUUCCAGUAGCUUCCAGGUUUCUUAAAGUCAGGUCUCCCACCUUCAAGCUUCUUUCUCUGACCUUUUGAUUGUAAUAUCUUGCUGCUCGUUGUUGGUAAGCCGCAGUUCGGACUUGGGCAUCUUCCCUAACUUCUUCAAGAGCAUCUAAGUUGCUCCUUAAUUUGUCCCCAUUAGCGUUCUCACUAACGAAUUGAACUCGAUGAGUGGGGAUCUGCAAUUCAACUGGGACUACGGCCUCUGUGCCAUAAGCAAG
RNAcentral lists this long non-coding RNA (393 nucleotides) under Manihot esculenta (cassava). RNAcentral describes it as "long non-coding RNA (MESC_LNC013096)". The record is from RNAcentral. Lineage: Eukaryota; Viridiplantae; Streptophyta; Magnoliopsida; Malpighiales; Euphorbiaceae.